Taeniopygia guttata (zebra finch) is the source of this 824-nucleotide non-coding RNA. NCBI's taxonomy places the organism in Eukaryota, Metazoa, Chordata, Aves, Passeriformes, Estrildidae. The record is from RefSeq and is a predicted model, not a curated record.
AAAAGCACAGUCUUAUGGUAGUAGAUUGUUUGAAUAUUUUGGUCAGAAUUCCUUUGGAUUGACACAGUCUUUCAAUUAUGUGCUCAAUUAUUCAAUCAUAAUGCAUGAAGAAUGCUGUUUCUCAGUCACAAAGCAGCUCAGUGAUUUUUAAUCCAUGUAAACCAGGCUGCUGAAGAGGAGCAAUGAGCUAGACUGCUAGCAUGCACAACUGGGUAACAUAUUUUUCUACUGGAGGAUUCUUCUAUGAAAUGGGAGAAGUAAACAGGCUGAGGGAGAGGAAUGUAUCCACAAGGAAAGCCAAACCCAGCAGCUGUCCUGAAAAUCAUCUCUGGCAGUGUUCAGGCUGGGGAAGGCCACAGCCCACAGGCUCAUCUGUUGAGGCCAGGACUCUCACCACCAAGAAGACCAGAAGAACAGGACAACAAACAGGAUGCCACGGGGAUCCAUGCAGUGGCGAUAUUUUCUACUUAAUCUGUUACUCUGUUACUCUCUUUCUCUUGGUCACACCCCAUUUUUCUCUAUUUUUUUCUCUCUAUCAUCUCACAUUUACUGUUAAAUAAAAGCCAUACUAUUGCCAUUGACAAAUGGUCUCCUUUGCACCUUAAUUUGGGCAGAAGUAUUUCUCUAAUAAUUUUAAUAACUAGAUCAUAAGUCUCUUUUUUUUUAAGAAAUCUAUGCAGCAGUGGGGGAAGGUGUUGGAAAACUCUUUUGAUUUCAGUGCAAUGGUGUUUGAUCUCUAUAUCUGAUGAAUAUUCAGAAUAUUCUUGUGCCAGGAAUUGCUUCCUUAUUUACCUACAUCAGUGAUUAAUAUGCCCUAACAGAUA